This is an RNA transcript of Notolabrus celidotus (New Zealand spotty), 4926 nucleotides long. RefSeq lists it as uncharacterized. The transcript has 5 exons. NCBI's taxonomy places the organism in Eukaryota, Metazoa, Chordata, Actinopteri, Labriformes, Labridae. The record is from RefSeq and is a predicted model, not a curated record.
UCAAAACACCUGGUGCAUUAAGAUCACACCUCUCAAGGUCACACACAUCUGUGAAAAUCCAGGAAAAUUCAACUUUUCAAUGUGAAUUGUGUCAUUUUAGAGAGAUUUGCAGUGACAAAGCGUUUUUGAACCACCUUGGCCAUCAUUUAAAGAAUCGUGAAACUGUGGCAUGUCCAUUUCUAAGCUGUUCCUUCAAAACAAAUUUGCGUCCAACUUUCAGUUCUCACAGGAGUCGAAAUCAUAAAAAUUUUACACUUAAAGAUUUUAGAACCUUAGCCAGAGCCAGUAGUGAACACGGGGCAAAUUAUGAUGAACAAUCUGAAUUUGAAGCAGGGACAUCAUCGCAAAAUAGUUUGAGACCAGAUGAUGCUGAUGAGACAGUCGAAGAUGUGGACAGUGAGACACUUCAGCACAAGUUGGCUUCUCUCUUUCUGUCAAUGCAAACAGUCUUACAUGUUUCUAGAGAUUCAAUACAAAAGAUUGUAGAGGAUUUGCAUGACCUGCUCUCUUUUUCUAGCAAUGAGACUCUCAAUAGUGUCAAAGAGAUCCUUACAAAGCAUAACAUUGUAAUAAGUGAUACUGUUUUGCAAGAAAUAUCUAAUACUAUUGUUCAAACUAAUCCACUCCUUUUAACAACAUCUGAAAAAGGUUCCCUAUCUACUGACCAUAGAAGGAAUUUAUAUUUCAAGGAACACUUUAGUGUUAUAGAACCUACAGAAUAUCUUUAUGACACUGCCCAAAAAGAUGCAUUUGUGUAUGUUUCUGUCACUAACAUACUUGAGACUUUACUAGGGCGAGCAGAUUUUUUGGACAGAGUUGUAUUUGAUCAAGAAACAUUAUCUGGCAAUUUUAACUCUUUUCAAGAUGGCAAAUAUUUCAAGGAAAAUAAGCUACUGAGCCAGCAAAACAUUAGUAUCAGUUUGGCAUUGUAUAUUGAUGAUUUUGAAGUUUGUAACCCUCUGGGCACCUCUAGAAAACUUCACAAGAUAACUGCAGUAUAUUGGGUUCUUCUAAAUUUACCAGCCAGGUUCCGAUCAAGUCUCACUUCAAUUCAGCUAGCUCUCUUGGGUAAAAGUGUGGAUGUCAAACAAUACGGUUAUGAAAAGUUUCUUGAGCCGUUGAUUAAAGAUUUAAGGUGUCUAGAAGAAGAGGGAAUUUUUGUUGAAGUUGUUGAUCAACUGGUAAAGGGCACUGUGUUCUGUGUGUGUGCCGAUAACCUCGGAGCACACAGUCUUGCAGGGUUUUUUGAAAGUUUCAAUGUUGAUAAAUUCUGCCGGUUUUGCUUGAUAAGUCGGCAGCAAAUAGCUACAACUGUAGAAAUUGAUUUUCAGUUGAGGGAUGUUGAUCAACACAACACUUUUUUGGAAGAGCUCAGACAGAAUGACAACCUCCAAAGCAUUUGUGGCAUAAAAAGUGAUUGUGUACUGAGAAAAAAUCUACGGUUCUUUCAUCCAAUAACUGGAUUUCCCCCAGAUGUUUUGCAUGACCUUUUUGAAGGGGUUAUCCCUGUAGAAUUGUGUUUGUGUUUAAAGAAUCUGAUUUCAAAAGGUUACAUUACAUUUGAUGCAUUAAACGAGUGCAUAAAUUCGUUUCCUUACAAGUAUUCAGACAAGGUAAACAAACCACACAAAAUUCCUAAAGGAAACUUUGCAAAAUGCAGUGUUGGUGGUAAUGGACAUGAAAACUGGACACUUCUUCGCUUACUUCCUUUCAUAAUUGGAAGAAGGAUACCAGAACAGGAGCCUGCAUGGGAGAUUUUAAUGGACCUUAAAGAAAUUGUGGACAUUGUAGUGUCAAAUAGACUCUCAGAGGAAACAUUGUGUUACUUGUCUUGUAAACUACUGGAUCAUCGCAAGUUGCUCACCAGCACCUUUCCGGACUUCAGAUUGAGGCCAAAACACCACUUCAUUGACCACUACCCACAUCUUAUUCGCUGCUUUGGACCUUUAGUGGAAUUGUGGACAUUGAGGUUUGAAGCUAAGCAUAGCUUCUUUAAGAGGGUGAUCCAUGACACCCGCAAUUGGAAAAAUGUGCUGCUAACUCUUUCCUCAAAACAUCAGCAAAUGAUGGCAUUGCAUUUGGAUCGUCAAAAUCUUUUCAAGCCAAAACUAUACAUUGAAAAUGUGACAGUGGUCAGGGUUUCAGAACUGGAUCCAUCACUUAAGUGUGAAAUACAAAAGAAAUACCCACAUCUUGAUAGUGUCUCUCUUGCAAAAUCAGUUCACCUCUAUGGAACACAGUAUGCAAAGGACAUGAUUGUAUCUGCUGGCCAGUGUGGUGGCCUUCCGGAAUUCCACAAGAUUGCAACAAUUCUUGUCAAUGCAGAGCAAGUGACUUUCAUUUGUAAAAAACUUUCUUCGUGGUACCUUGAACAUUUCAGGUCUUUUGAGCUGGUUGAACACCACUGUGCAGAAAUUAUUCUCUUGGAUCAAGAUAUGCUCGCAGAUUACCACCCUCUAGCAGCAUACACAGUUGGUGGAAAGGUGAUGGUGACCACAAGGACAUUCAUUCUUCAUUAAAACAUCUCAAAAUGACUUUGUUACUCCGCGUGGUUGUCUCCCCCAAAGAAGCCCGCCGACUACAGCUUUCUCAAGUUCCUGAAUCUGUAGCCCAACUUGUCGAUGUGAUAAAAGAAAGACUUGAGAUUCAAGAAGACUUCUCACUCCAGUUUGAGGAUCCAGACUUUGGAAAUGCACUGUGCAACUUGACAGCAAUGUCGGAAUUGCCAGCUGAGCGCGCAGUCAUUCAUAUCAUAUCGGACUGUGAUUCAUCUUCCACUGACCGUUCCACUAGUUCACUUUCCUCAACAGAUACCAUAAGUGUUCACUCUGACAUGUUCAGCUCUAGCUAUACUGACUCUAUUCAGAGCAAUUUGAGGCAUCUCAACGAGUGGCCCUCUCCAUUUCCUAUCCCUAAGUUCUCACAUGAUGUUGAACUGAAAUUGCGCAAGGGCAAUGAGACUUAUGAGAAGUCUAAGAAGGGCCUUGAUGUUACAAGAGACAUUAAAAGUGACAUAUUGGAUAAAAUUGCACAGGCAAUUUUUGAUAUCAAAGGUUACCCUGAGAGAGAUGAAAUCGAAUCAGUUGCUUCUUCACUGGUUCUCAAGUAUCCGUGCCUAAAGGAACCAGGUAGCAUCACAGGCUACGAAGGAUGGAAAACAAGUAUCCGUUACAAGCUUGGAAACUACAGGUCAAAGUUGCGUGAGGCAGGCUGCAAUGAGGUGAAUGUAAACAGCAAAAAGAAAAGGGGAGAUGAAGAUGGUGGUCCAUUCAUCCUGAAAAAGCCCAAACGUGGGGAGGUGAAUCAUGUUCCAAAUCAUCCCCAACACCAUGAUGAUUCUUCUCUUGAAGAGGAAAGAGUUCUUCUAGUAGAAGAAAUGAAGAAGAAAAAGAAGAACACAACAUUGAUACAGAACAAGAUGGAGCUGACAUUUUCCCUAAGACGUAUAGAGGUUGUAGAGGGGCAGCCCAUGGUGUCAGAGGUCCAGGAGAGAUGGCCUGCACUGUUUACAUUGGAGGAGAUUUCUCAGGAAUUUCAUCGGAUCACCAGCAAAGAUCUCUUGGAGACCUUCAGAGCAUCCCUUGACAUGUAUGUGCCGCACCUACUGAGACUGUACCGGGCUAAGAGGGAAGCUUGUGGUCGGAAAAUGGAAGACCUCCUUGAUACACUUGAUGAACAGACAUCGGACAUACUGUCUCAUCGAAAGACAGCAGCAAUGAAAGGUCUCCCCAUCUUUGUCCGGGAUGAUGCCACAACAUUUUUCCUCCAACGUUCAGCCACUGAACCUGAAGACAGGGCUCUCAGCGGAGUGUCUGUUGCCAUCCUCACCAUCAUUGAAGAUGAUGAUGCGCCGAAUGUAUUGGAUGUAGCUGUUGUGUUGGAAGGAGCCAUUGUGCUGCAUGACAUGCCAGACCUCUGCACAGCCUUUGCAUAUCUCUUUGGCCUUUUGUAUGCCAUGAACAUUGACUAUCCAAAGCAGAUGGCCUACACCUUUGAAGCAAUUCAGACCAUCUUCUUCGAGCUUGGAUCUGUUCGCUCCCAGCGCACACGGUCUCUGAAAACAAAGCUAUCACUGUAAACGUUCAUCAAGAUACCUCCAGUGAGAAGGACAACUUAGUUCAUGUCUGCGAGUUAAUUCAUGUUUCAAGUUCAUUGUCAGUGCUUGUGUAAAAUGUUUAGUAAAUGCUUGCACAUUGUCAUCUUAUGCACAUAAGCCAGUUUUGCCUGUGGAAGUUGUGUGGUUUAGGCCCAACCAAGUUCAUUGUCAGUGCUUGUGUAAAAUGUUUAGUAAAUGCUUGCACCAUGGUCAUUUUAAGCACAUAAGCCAGUUUUGCCUGUGGAAGUUGUGUGGUUUAGGCCCAACCAGGUUCAUUGUCAGUGCUUGUGUAAAAUGUUUAGUAAAUGCUUGCACCAUGGUCAUUUUAAGCACAUCAGCCAGUUUUGCCUGUGGAAGUUGUGUGGUUUAGGCCCAACCAAGUUCAUUGUCAGUGCUUGUGUAAAAUGUUUAGUAAAUGCUUGCACAUUGUCAUUUUAAGCACAUCAGCCAGUUUUGCCUGUGGAAGUUGUGUGGUUUAGGCCAAACCAGGAUCAUUGUUCAGUUAAAACUUCAGUAUAUGAACAUGCAGUCAUUUCAAGCAUGUAAGUCCCUUUUGUGAAAUCCUGUGAACAUUUGUGGAUAGGUGAGAUGCUAGUUGAAUAGGCUUUUGUCUUUAAUUUUUGUUUUAUCAUUUAAUGUUCUAAAGUGUUUGAGGCCCAGCAGGUCUUUCAUGGAUCACAAAAAUGUAUGAUCACAAAGGCAGUUAGGAUCUUUUUUUUCACUGUCAAGAGUUUUAUAAUAUGACGGCACGUUUGAUUGUACUUGAGGCCAGACCUCAGUGUUUAUAUUGACAUUUGAAUGUCACGUGGAAUAAAAGUUGUUCUGCUUUA